This 501-nucleotide ribosomal RNA is filed under the name uncultured bacterium. RNAcentral's name for it is "partial 16S ribosomal RNA". It matches the Rfam family "Bacterial small subunit ribosomal RNA", at positions 899 to 1397 of the family's 1533-position model. The record is from RNAcentral.
ACUCAAAGGAAUAGACGGGGGCCCGCACAAGCGGUGGAGCAUGUGGUUUAAUUCGACGCAACGCGAAGAACCUUACCUAGGCUUGACAUGCAUGGGAAAGCUCUGAGAAACCAGGGCCCCUCUUCGGAGUCCAUGCACAGGUGCUGCAUGGCUGUCGUCAGCUCGUGUCGUGAGAUGUUGGGUUAAGUCCCGCAACGAGCGCAACCCCCGUUCCUAGUUGCCAGCGAGUCAAGUCGGGGACUCUAGGAAGACUGCCGGUGCCAAACCGGAGGAAGGUGGGGAUGACGUCAAGUCAUCAUGGUCCUUACGUCUAGGGCUACACACGUGCUACAAUGGCCGGUACAGAGGGAUGCAAGCGUGCGAACGUGAGCCAAUCCCAGAAAGCCGGCCUCAGUGCGGAUUGGAGGCUGCAACUCGCCUCCAUGAAGCUGGAAUCGCUAGUAAUCGUGGAUCAGCUACGCCACGGUGAAUACGUUCCCGGGCCUUGUACACACCGCCCGU